GACGAACGCUGGCGGCGCGCUUAACACAUGCAAGUCGAACGGAAAGGCCUGCUUUCCCUUGUGGAUUGCGGGUACUCGAGUGGCGAACGGGUGAGUAACACGUGAGUGAUCUGCCCCCAACUUGGGUAUAAGCCUGGGAAACUGGGUCUAAUUCCCGAUAGGACUGCAGGGUGGUGCCUGUGGUGGAAAACGAUUUUCUAGUGGUUGGGGAUGAGCUCGCGGCCUAUCAGCUUGUUGGUGGGGUAAUGGCCUACCAAGGCGGCGACGGGUAGCCGGCCUGAGAGGGUGGACGGCCACAUUGGGACUGAGAUACGGCCCAGACUCCUACGGGAGGCAGCAGUGGGGAAUAUUGCACGAUGGGCGGAAGCCUGAUGCAGCGACGCCGCGUGGGGGAUGACGGCCUUCGGGUUGUAAACUCCUUUCGACCGCGAGGAAGCCACCUGGUUGGAAGGGUGGUGACGGUAGUGGGAGAAGAAGCACCGGCUAACUACGUG
Molecule: ribosomal RNA, 494 nt
Filed under: uncultured bacterium
Lineage: Bacteria
Description: partial 16S ribosomal RNA
Rfam family: Bacterial small subunit ribosomal RNA
Source: RNAcentral